Molecule: long non-coding RNA, 877 nt
Filed under: Anser cygnoides (Swan goose)
Lineage: Eukaryota; Metazoa; Chordata; Aves; Anseriformes; Anatidae
Description: lncRNA (ENSACDG00005010117.1)
Source: RNAcentral
UUUAGGAGCACCAUUGCUUCUCUAAAGGCUGGGGGCAGAGGUGAUGCCCAUUUCUUAUCCAACUUUCAUUUCAUUUAUAGCUGUAAUUCUGGUGUCACGCAGAUAACAGUUUUUCUCCUGGAAGCCAUAAUAGGAGCAGGGCUGCAUGCUUGUCUGCUCCCUGCAGUAACAGAGCCGUGUGGAAAGCCAAGGUUUAAUGCAGCACUGUACUGGGGAGGAGUCAAUAGAUGGAGACAUCCAUGUGAAAUUUCAUCUUGAGCCAUGAAAAGAAAACUGAAGAUGCCUUAGAGGACUGGGCCCUAGUAUGGAGCACUUCUUCUUUAAAGAAAAAACUUUAAAAGGGGAGAAUUUCACUUUUAAAAUUAAUCACCAUGGCAACCCUUACAGUGAAUUUCCAAACAUAGAAAGUUGCCUUUAAGAAGCAUGGUUCUCUAAAAGAAAGGUGAGUUUUUACAGCUUCUGACAAUGCUCCCAGAGAAUAUAAGAUUUUACAGAAAUCAGUUAGAGAGUUUUACAGAAAGAAAGGAAAAGUUAUAUGGUUGUGGUGGUUGUCUUUUUUUAUUAUUAUUUAAAGAGUCUGCAUGCUAACUAAUUUCAUCAUAAUGCUGGCUUAAAAUAGACUUGGAGAACUAGAUAGAGCCUAGCAGAAAUACUUGUGAUAUUGCUAAAUAUCAUCUAGGUGAAUUUAUAGUUAACUAUUUGCCAAUGAUUCUUUCAUAUAUAUAAUAAUAUUUUUCCUAGUUUUGGACUGUUUUUUAUGCAUAUCCAGAAUCCUACUAGUAAAUACUAAAUACUGUUUUUAAAAUUUAAAAAAAAAAAAUUAAAAAAUUAAAAAGAUAAUAAUAAAAAGAAUGUGAAGUAAUAGAAUAAGGGGGGG